AUCUUUCUUCUCAGCAACCUUAUUCACUCAUGAGGACCGACGUGACAGGUAACAUCAACGGCUGUACGGAUGGGUAAGAACACAAACAGAAGAAAGGAAACAAAUCACUAAAUUGAAUUGAAGACAGCGUGUGAAUUUCUUAUCCUAAAUCAAUUAUAAAUAAUACUUAACUACCCUAUAACUAUUAGUGCUACAAUCAAUCUAUUUACAAGCUUAGUACUAGAUUCUUUCCACCAAGUAGCAGAAACCAACCUAACCCUAAUCUACUUAUGCUGUAAAGUGCACAAUCACGACACGACAGACAGAUUUCGACAAGACAGACUACGACUGACAAACUACGAACGAUCAUAAAGGGGACUAAACGUAAGUUGACUAUGUCCAAACAUACGAUUCAUAAAAUUAUUUAUUUGCAUAAGAUUAACAAAAACUGAUGUGGAACA
Long non-coding RNA from Armigeres subalbatus, 440 nucleotides. RefSeq lists it as uncharacterized. The record is from RefSeq and is a predicted model, not a curated record. NCBI's taxonomy places the organism in Eukaryota, Metazoa, Arthropoda, Insecta, Diptera, Culicidae. The transcript has 3 exons.